Long non-coding RNA from Papio anubis (olive baboon), 4415 nucleotides. The record is from Ensembl. Lineage: Eukaryota; Metazoa; Chordata; Mammalia; Primates; Cercopithecidae.
CCCUAAUUAUGCACAGAACAGCGUAACUGUAUGAUUAUAGGACAGGAUUACUCAGUGAUACUAUUAUUUGGGCCUUGUAGAAUAGAAGAAGGGAGAAAAUUGGAUUUAAACAGAGCAGGAUAAUUUUGAUCUUAUAAAGUGUAGAGCAUCAAAGCAGUUUGCUAGCUUGAAUUUUAAAAAUUAUUUCAUUGAUGUUAAUUAUGAAGUGUAAGAAUUUUUAAAUGGUAAAAAUGACUGAUUUGGUCAUUAAACUUUCUGAUUUUGGUCUUUACCAAAAAUAAAAAAACUCCACACUUGUUCCUGAGCCUAGUGUUCUGUGGAAUAACAAUUGUAAAUUAAGGCUUUAAAUUUAGAGGCUAAAUAAGGAAAUUCUGUUUUCGUUUGUUUGUUUGUUUUUGAGACAAAGUCUCGCUCUGAAAUCCAGGCUGCCACUGACUGUGGGGGCUCGAUCAUGGAUCACUGCAACCUUGACCUCCAAGGCUCAAGCCAUCCUCCUGCCUCAACCUCUGGGGUAGCUGGGGCUACAGGUGGAGAAAGAGAAGUUUGUCUCCCCGAAAGCCCCUGUGUGCUCAUCUUUAUCUCCCGCCUUCCCCCAUGUCUGCUGUCAAGGUGUUCUGCUGUUCUUUACUGUGGAUAUCUGUUGGCUGUUCUAUGGUGUUGCUGUUCUCACCCCGUCAGAUGCCUGGUGGCUUCUCUCUGUUUCCUCCUGCAAAGAUGUCAAUACCAUACAGAGGCAGAAUUUGUUCCAGAGUCCGGGCUGCUGAUUCCCCAAAUGGGGUUAAAUGUUGCAUUGCUCCCCAGCUGGAAACCUGCAGAGACAGAGAAUAAACGAGGUAUGGCCACUAUGAGCAUGUGACUUGCAGCUCUCUAACUUCAGGGAGCAUAACUGUGCAAGGGCUGGAGCUGCAGUGAUCUGAUGUGCACUGCCGCAUUUGCACCAGCCCAUGUUUCCCAGGGGUUGUGCCAAACCAAUGACUGGGUGUGGCUGAGAUGCUAAGGCAGACUCAUUUCUAGGAGACAGACUCUUCUGCCAGCUGACUUUAGCUUGAGGACUUCUCAAAAGGUCCACUGAGAUCGCCUUAGAUCACUAGGCCUUGGCUGUUUGGGAUGUUUCCACUUGACUUUUCCCUCCUAUUUCCUUUGCUUGGGUCCUCUUUCCUUGUGUCAAUCUGUCAAUCUGGUGGAUCUCCAGGCCUUCUUGGCUCCCCACCUAUUUUCUCCCACAAGUGUUUUCUCUAAUACAAUUCUUGUAUGUUUAAUACCAUGUUUGUAUCUACUUCUUAGAGGACCUGGACUAACACACAUGAUUUUGCAAUUUCAUAUUUUAAAAUGAUUUUACUCUUAGAAUUUAAUAAAAACAUAUCAUAUGGUUAAAAUGUUGUACCAGUAAGUAGUUUCUCCAAAGUAGAAGAGCUAAUAAGUAGGUGAGCUGGGCAUCAAAUACUAGCUUUUGAUCUAAUUCAAAAGCCCAUUCUCAGCUCACACAUGUGGUUUACACUUUGAAGGGCAGUACUAUCAGGUUGGCAUAGAGACUCCAUAUUAACCAGGAGAAGUAUUUAAGGUGUGAAUGAGAAGUUGGGACUGGAAUCUGGGCAAUUUGAGUGCUUGGCUAGAGCAUUUAAGGAGCUGUGAAUUCUGGCUGAGCAGUGGCCUAUCAUUCUACUUAAAGCAAGGGUCUAAGUUUGUUGGUGGCAAGGGAAUUUAGCAUUUCAAAAGGUAGUUUGGAAAUAUCUGUAUGCAAUGAAUGGCUUCUGACCCUGCAUUUGCGUUUCUAGAAAUUUAUGUGAAGAAAAUAAUUAAGAAUAUACUCAGCUAUGGUACUAUAAUAAUGUUCAACAAACUGCUGUUUGAAAUAAUGCAAAGUUGGAAACAAUGUAAAUGUCUAACAGUAGAAGAUUUGGUUAAAUAAGCGAUGAUCUAUACAAGUGUAUAAAAACAUUUGAAAUGAUAUUACACAAAUGUAACUGCUGAUGUGAAAAGUGUUUACAAUGUGCUUUUAAAUGAUGUGUUUAUUUAGAGACAAGGGUCUCCCUGCAUGGCCCGGUCUGAAGUGCAGAGGUGCAAUCAUAGCUCUUUGCAAGUCUUGGCUUCCCAGUGUCAGGUGAGCGUCCCCCUUAGCCUCCCAAGUAGCUGGGACUACAGGCGUGUGCCACUGUGCCCUGCUAAUUUUUUGUAGUAUUUUGUAGAGAUGGGGUUUCUUCAUGCUGCCCAAGCUGAUCUAGAACUUUUGGGCUCAAGAGGUCCGCCCACCUUGGCCUCCCAAAUUGUUGGGAUUAUAGGCGUGGACCACCAUGCCUGGCCACCAUAUACUUUUUUUCUUUCAAAAGCAUUGUUGAAUUAAAAAAAAAUUUUUUUAUUUUAAAAUAAACUUAUAGAAAAAUUGUAGAAACAGUAAAGAUUUCUUUUCCUUAACCAUUUUAAAGUAAGUUGCCAACAUGAUGUCCCAAUGACCCUGAAUACUUGCGUACUAUGGUUAGGCAUAGGUCAUUCUGCUACCUAAUCAACAUACAACUAUAAACAUCAAGAAAUUAACAUUGAUAUUUGUAUUAGGGUUCUCCAGGCUGGAAGAGGCAAGGAAGGAUUCUCCCCUAGAGCCUCCAGGGGGAGCUCAGCCCUGCUGACACAUUGAUUUUGGACUUCUGGACUUUAGAACUGUAGAGAAAACAUUUCUGUUGUUUUAAACCAUGAAGCUUGUGAUAAUUUGCUACAGUAGCCUCAAUAAACAAACACAAUGUCCUUUCCUUGCUCUAGCUCUAGUAUUAGCUAUUUCUCAAGGACCCCUGGUUCCUUGGUAUAGAAUGUAUAUCCAUGAAUUCACACUGAUCUCUCUAGUUUCUACCUACAACCACAAUUUUCACACCCGUCUUCUUUUUUUCCAUAUUAAUACCUUCCUUCUCUAACAGUGAGAAACCACCUGGUUCUCAAUAUAUUAUUAGUUGAAUACCCCAUAUGUAUGUAAAUUAGUUCCCAUUGUUGCUGGUGGAGGGUGUUCAGGUUCUUGGCGUCUUGAACACAGAAUUGGACAAAACGCACAAACAAAGCAGUGAAAAAAUGAAGCAACAAAAGCAGAGAUUUAUUGAAAGCAAAACUACACUCUGCAGAGUAAAAGUGGGCUGAGCAAGAGGCUCAAGAGCCAGGUUACAGAAUUUUCUGGGGUUUAAAUACCCUCGAGAUUUUCCAUUGGUUACUUGGUAUACACCCUAUGUAAAGGAAGUAGUGGCCCUUGUUCAGUCUGAUUGGUUGUGGGAAGGGACCAAUCAGAGGCUGAAAUGAAGUCACAAAGUUACACGCUAUGCAAAUGUCCCAUUGGUUGUGCAAAGUGACCGAUCAGAGGCUGAAGUAAAGUUACAAAGUUAUACUUCCAGGCAAAUGAAGCCUUGGCCGGUGACCAGCCUGAUUGGUUGCAGGAGGGGACAAAUCAGAGGUACUUUGAAUUUUUCAUCUGCCACAGAGAAAAGGGGUGGUUUGCAAAGGGAGUAGCCUCCAGUCCUUUUGUUACUUGGGCAUGAAAAGUUAGGGUUUUCCUUUUGAUUUAGUUCUAGGAAGUCAGUGUGAAUCAGCCAUAGGUUCCCUGCCUCCAGACCCUGUUCUCCUGCCUCACCAUCACCACCAGUGCCCACCCCCUCACAAAUGCUCUUCUCAUCCUGCUUACUCUCUAAAUUCCUGUUUGGGAGCCACCACGCAGCAGGCUGCCCCUCAAGCUGGUGUCCUCCUCACUCAGUUGGAUUCUUUUUUAAAAUUUUUCUAAUUUUUUAGUUUUUUUUGUUUGUUUGUUUGUUUGUUUGUUUUUGUUUUUUUUGUUUUUAUUUUGAGGCAGGGUCUCACCCUGUUGCCCAGGCUGUAGGGCAGUGGCAUGAUCUCAGAUCUCAGCUCACUGCAACCCCUGCCUUCCAGGUUCAGGCGAUCCUCCUACUUCAGCCUCCCAAGUGGUUGGGACUACAGGUGUAUGCCACCAUGCCUGGAUAAUUUUUUUAAUUUUUAAUUUUUUGUAGAGACAGGGGUCUCACUAUAUUGCCCAGGCUGAUCUCAAACUCCUGGGCUAAAGGGAUUCUCCCACUUCUGCCUCCUAGGGUGCUGGAAUUCAGACAUGAACCACCGUGCCUGGCCCCACUUGAAUUCUGACACUUCGCACGAGGUUGCGGAUGUCACUCUUCACUCCUCCCCUACUCCUCCCCCACUGCUGCCUCUGAUGUACCCCACACUGGGCCACCACAGCCUGCCCUCCCUACCCUCCCCUCACACUCAGCCACAGGGUCCCUCCCUCACUUGGCUCCACUCAAUAAUUUAAUGAUCUUGGACUCAAUUUUUCAGGAAGAAAAAGAAGAAGGAAAGAGGAAAAUAAUGCAGAAAGGAAGACAUCAUCUAUAUUUUUAAGUGAAAAAAAAGUCAAUAUAUUUGGGGGAAAAUCUGUAGGA